UACGUAGGGUGCAAGCGUUAAUCGGAAUUACUGGGCGUAAAGCGUGCGCAGGCGGUUUUGUAAGUCUGUCGUGAAAUCCCCGGGCUUAACCUGGGAAUGGCGUUGGAGACUGCAAGGCUAGAGUUUGGCAGAGGGGGGUAGAAUUCCACGUGUAGCAGUGAAAUGCGUAGAGAUGUGGAGGAACACCGAUGGCGAAGGCAGCCCCCUGGGUCAAAACUGACGCUCAUGCACGAAAGCGUGGGGAGCAAACAGG
RNAcentral lists this ribosomal RNA (253 nucleotides) under uncultured bacterium. RNAcentral's name for it is "partial 16S ribosomal RNA". It matches the Rfam family "Bacterial small subunit ribosomal RNA", at positions 524 to 776 of the family's 1533-position model. The record is from RNAcentral.